Long non-coding RNA from Magnolia sinica, 2280 nucleotides. RefSeq lists it as uncharacterized. The record is from RefSeq and is a predicted model, not a curated record. The transcript is spliced from 3 exons. Lineage: Eukaryota; Viridiplantae; Streptophyta; Magnoliopsida; Magnoliales; Magnoliaceae.
UGGCUGAAGUUUGUGGAUCUCAAGAGGCCUUUGCUGUGGUUUUUUUGGGUGCAGGACAGUUUUUUGUUUGGGUCAUCUGCUGCCCUGUUUUCUGAUUGCUCCAAGCCAAAUGAAGCUGGCCUAUCUGGAAUGUUGGGACUUGGGCCUGCUGCUGUUGGCUGGACGAUGAUGGUCUGUGGAGGCAGUGGGAUGUUUGGGUGGCUGAUGAUAGUAGCUGAUGGUGGUGUUGUGGUCUGCCAUGGCAGCUGAUAUGGCUGAAGUUUGUGGAUCUGAAGAGGCCUCUGCUGUGGUUUUAUUUGGGUGCAGGACAUUUUUUUGUUUGGGUCACCUGCUGCCCUGUCUUCUGAUUGCUCCAAAUCAGAUGAAGCUGGCCUAUCUAGAAUGUUGGGACUUAGGCCUGCUGCUGUUGGCCGGAUGAUGAUGGUCUGAGGAGGCAGUGGGAUGUUUGGGUGGCUGAUGAUGGUAGCUGAUGGUGUUGUGGUCUGUCAUGGCAGCUGAUAUGGCUGAAGUUUGUGGAUCUGAAGUGGCCUCUGCUGCGGUUUGUUUUUGGGUGCAGGACAGUUUUAUGUUUGGGUCAUCUGCUGCCCUCCUUUUCUGAUUGCUCCAAGCCAGAUGAAGCUGGCAGAAUGUUGGACUUGGGCCUGCCACUGUUGGUCAGACAAUGAUGGUCUGUGGAGGCAGGGGGAUGUUUGGGUGGCUGAUGAUGGUAGCUGAUGGUGGUGUUGUGGUCUGUCAUGGUAGUUGAUAUGGCUGAAGUUUGUGGAUCCGAAGAGGUCUCUGCUGCGGUUUUUUCGGGUCCAGGACAGUUGUUUGUUCGGCUCAUCUGCUGCCCUGUUUUCUGAUUGCUCCAAGCCUGAUGAAGCUGGCCUAUCUGGAAUGUUGGGACUUGGGCCUGCCACUGUUGGCCGGAUGAUGAUGGUCUGUGGAGUCAGUGGGAUGUUUGGGUGGCUGAUGGUGGUGUUGUGGUCUGCCAUGGCAGCUGAUAUGGCUGAAGUUUGUGUAUCUGAAGAGGCCUCUGCUGUGGUUGUUUUUGGGUGCAGGACAGUUUUUUGUUUGGGUUAUCUGCUGCCCUGUUUUCUGAUUGCUCCAAGCCAGAUGAAGCUGGUCUAUCUGGAAUGUUGGGGCUUAGGCCUGCUGCUGUUGGCCGGAUGAUGAUGGUCUGUAGAGGCAGUGGGAUGUUUGGGUGGCUGAUGAUGGUAGCUGAUGGUGUUGUGGUCGGCCAUGGCAGCUGAUAUGGCUGAAGUUUGUGGAUCUGAAGAGGCCUCCCCUGUGUUUUUUAUUUUUGGGUGCAGGGUUUUUUGUUUGGGUUUUCUGCUGCCCUUUUUUCUGAUUGCUCCAAGUCAGAUGAAGCUGGCCUAUAUGGAAUGUUGGGACUUGGGCUUGCUGCUGUUGGCCAGAUGAUGAUGAUCUGUGGAGGCAGUGGGAUGUUUGGGUGGCUGAUGGUGGUGGGUCUGUUUUUACCUCAUGGAUGGUUGAUGAGGAUGAUGGAAUUUGAUGUUUGGUAGGUGUCUUCUGCUGUAGUUCUGGGAUGAUGUUACAGGGCUUGCCGUGGCUGCUGUGAUGGUGGUUUGUUUACAGGUUUAUGUUGGCUGCAGGUUUUUGUGACUUGGGAUCCAGAGAUUUGGAGUGCUGGGGUCAUGCGAUUGGCGAGUUCAUGUUUAGAGGUUGAUUUUAUCCUGGUUGUGGCCCAGAUUAGAGUAGGGGGUUCAGCAGCUCAGAGAUGGUUUUUCAUCUAAGCAGAGCUAGUUUUUUUUUUUUUUUUUUUUUUGUUUUUGUUUUUCUUUCCAGCAAAUCAGAAUUGGCCAUCCAUCAGUCUUAUUGCAUUUCCCUCUCUCCUCUCCUUUCUCAGUCUAAUAACAGCUGGGCCAGCAGAGCAGAGUUGCAGGCUGUAGAUAUGGAGCUCUGUUGCAGUUUGCGGCUGCCUGGCAGGUUGAUCGAAUUCGGUUGUGUGGGACAUCUUGUUGCAAACGAUCUCGACCAUUAAUUGUAAUCACAUUUUGCUGAAGAACGUAUUCUAGAUGAAUGGACUAGUUAUUUCAUGUGGUUUGCAAAAUCAUAUGCUGCAAUGAGUUGUGGGAAGACUAGUCUUGCGGCUCAUUAUCAGAACCAUGGAUACACUGACAAUGACGAAUCAUGGCACCUCAGCAAUCUGUGUGCAUUUUCACAUUCUUUUUUCGCCUAAGGUUUUUUCUUUUUCAGUGAAUGUGUCUGGGAAGUUGAAGACGUCGGUGACUGUUGGUUUGGAAUGAAAAGAAUUGAUGUGCUUGUUUUGCUUAGGCA